UGAUGAUGGUGAGAGUAAUUUUUUAGCAUACUUUUAAAUCUCUCCCAAUCUUGGUAAAGAUUCUCUCCUUCUUUCUAUGUGAAACUCAAAAUCUCUCUUGUCAAUCA
Capsicum annuum is the source of this 107-nucleotide non-coding RNA. Lineage: Eukaryota; Viridiplantae; Streptophyta; Magnoliopsida; Solanales; Solanaceae. The record is from Rfam.